GCGCGCGCGCGGACCGGGCGGUUUGGGCCGGUCGGGCGUGGUCGGACUGGGCCGGUUCGGCCCAUUUUGGCCGGGCCGGUCCGGUUUACCCCUUUUUUUUUCCUUUUUAGGCCUUUUCUUUUUCUGUUUUUCUCAUUUCUUUGAUAUCUUUUGUGUUUGAACUCCAAAUUGGUCCAAAUAAAUUCCAGAAAAUUUGUAAAAUCAUGUUCUACCAUGAUACAACUUUUUGGAAGUAGUUUCUCUUCAAAAUAAAAUAUAUAAAAAUACAUUUGCCCUAUAAAUGACUUUAGGGCUAUAUAUCUGUCUGAAUAAAAUACUUUUUCAACUCCAAUUAGUUAACCAAAAAUUAUGGGAUAGCUUAUAUAUGCAUUAAACCCUUUUUAUGCAUCAACCCUAUUGGUUUGAAAAUCCAAAGGUUACAGGGAUGUAAACAAAAUCUCUUAAAGCCUUUUGUGAUUCAAAAUUUGAACUCAAACAUGCAAUUGUGGCAUGAUGCUCAUGGAUGCAAUGCACAUGUAAAGGUUUGAAAUUUUGGGAUGUUACAGUGUGAGCUGGAGUCUCAGUGAUCACUUUAUCCAACGGGUCACAACAGCUAGAUCAGCCGUGGCCAAGGCUAUAUAAGACGACCCACCCCGAAGGAGUUCGGCGGUGAACCCCAAUGAGUUGUUUUGAAGAACACCUGAUAAAACCCUUAGAGCUGAACUGAGCGUGAAGAAUGGGAUCCCCUCUCUAGCCGAGCACUUGAAUCUUGUUUCUCUUGGUGAUUGGCAUCACCUAGACGGCUAGGAGUCAGUGUUGAAGAGCAAUCGAAGAUUGUGAUUGGCCAUCAACCAGUCUGUAAAGGUCCGGAGAUCACCUCAAGAUCUACCACGACUAACUGGGUGAGACUUUGGUCUUAGCUCAGGAGGAUUGGGUGGACUUGUGUGUCCGCGAGUCUUGUGUGACUCAGCCCCCUCAACGAAGACAU
RNAcentral lists this long non-coding RNA (967 nucleotides) under Brachypodium distachyon (stiff brome). Its description in RNAcentral is "long non-coding RNA (BDIS_LNC004602)". The record is from RNAcentral. Lineage: Eukaryota; Viridiplantae; Streptophyta; Magnoliopsida; Poales; Poaceae.